UACAUGGGGUGCAAACGUUGCUCGGAAUUAUUGGGCGUAAAGCGCACGUAGGCGGUUUGUUAAGUCGGAUGUGAAAGCCCCGGGCUCAACCUGGGAAUUGCAUUCGAGACUGAAUAGCUAGGGUACGGUAGAGGGAAGUGGAAUUUCCGGUGUAGCGGUGAAAUGCGUAGAUAUCUGGAGGAACACCGGUGGCGAAGGCGGCAUCCUGGACCGGCAUUGACGCUGAGGAGCGAAAGCCAGGGGAGCAAACGGG
Molecule: ribosomal RNA, 253 nt
Filed under: uncultured bacterium
Lineage: Bacteria
Description: partial 16S ribosomal RNA
Rfam family: Bacterial small subunit ribosomal RNA
Source: RNAcentral